Molecule: ribosomal RNA, 253 nt
Filed under: uncultured microorganism
Description: partial 16S ribosomal RNA
Rfam family: Bacterial small subunit ribosomal RNA
Source: RNAcentral
UACGUAGGGUGCGAGCGUUAAUCGGAUUUACUGGGCGUAAAGCGUGCGCAGGCGGCCCGUUAAGACAGGUGUGAAAUCCCUGGGCUCAACCUAGGAAUUGCGCUUGUGACUGGCGGGCUCGAGUACGGUAGAGGGGGGUGGAAUUCCUGGUGUAGCAGUGAAAUGCAUAGAGAUCAGGAGGAACACCGAUGGCGAAGGCAGCCCCCUGGGCCUGUACUGACGCUCAUGCACGAAAGCGUGGGGAGCAAACAGG